Molecule: long non-coding RNA, 393 nt
Organism: Xyrauchen texanus (razorback sucker)
Lineage: Eukaryota; Metazoa; Chordata; Actinopteri; Cypriniformes; Catostomidae
Exons: 5
Source: RefSeq, a predicted model, not a curated record
CCAAAACAUUGUUACAGCAUUACCAGAGGAUGCGGAUAUGAAAGACUUGCUAGUCUUCCCAGCAUGGACAAAAGCUAAUGGCCCUGACCACUACAUUGUCUGUACAAAUUGCCAACCAAAUUGAUCCGGGGAUCUGGACAGAAAUGACUGGAAAGGAUUUUUCGGCUUUGCCACGUCAGACAAGAGGGAAUGACUGUGAUGUUUUUGUGCUGAUGGUAGAGUCUUUAAUUUGUUUAUAAGUAAGGUCUAGUGAACAGUGUUAACAACAGCUUGUCUCCUUUAUUUCAGUACACCCUCUCAAUGGUCUGUGACAUCGAGUUCGAUUUCCAGGAGGUUGACAUGCCCAUGAUUAGAAAAUGGUGGUGCCUUGUGCUAAUGGAACGAUUUCAAAUU